Molecule: ribosomal RNA, 492 nt
Filed under: uncultured bacterium
Lineage: Bacteria
Description: partial 16S ribosomal RNA
Rfam family: Bacterial small subunit ribosomal RNA
Source: RNAcentral
AGUGAACGCUGGCGGUAGGCCUAACACAUGCAGGUCGAACGGCAGCACAGUAAGAGCUUGCUCUUACGGGUGGCGAGUGGCGGACGGGUGAGGAAUACAUCGGAAUCUACUUUUUCGUGGGGGAUAACGUAGGGAAACUUACGCUAAUACCGCAUACGACCUACGGGUGAAAGCAGGGGAUCUUCGGACCUUGCGCGAUUGAAUGAGCCGAUGUCGGAUUAGCUAGUUGGCGGGGUAAAGGCCCACCAAGGCGACGAUCCGUAGCUGGUCUGAGAGGAUGAUCAGCCACACUGGAACUGAGACACGGUCCAGACUCCUACGGGAGGCAGCAGUGGGGAAUAUUGGACAAUGGGCGCAAGCCUGGUCCAGCCAUACCGCGUGGGUGAAGAAGGCCUUCGGGUUGUAAAGCCCUUUUGUUGGGAAAGAAAAGCAGCAGGUUAAUACCCCGCUGUUCUGACGGUACCCAAAGAAUAAGCACCGGCUAACUUCGUG